Molecule: long non-coding RNA, 447 nt
Filed under: Nicotiana benthamiana
Lineage: Eukaryota; Viridiplantae; Streptophyta; Magnoliopsida; Solanales; Solanaceae
Description: long non-coding RNA (NBEN_LNC004165)
Source: RNAcentral
CCACAACUCCUUUACGGGCUCCGUAGCAAGAAAUGAUGUAUUCUGUUAUAGCGAGUCCUUCGCGUAAAUUGCUUUGAAUAGGUAAAUCAAUCAUUUUUCGUUGAGGAUCUGACAUUAAUCCUCUCAUACCUACCAAUUGAUGUACUUGAGAUGCAUUUCCUCUAGCUCCGGAGAAAGACAUUAUAUGAACUGGAUUAAAAGCGUCAGUCAUCCUAAAAUUAGGAUUCAUUUCUUGUCGCAAAUAUUCACUUGUAGCAUACUAUAUUUCAAUGGAUUGACGUAAUUUUUCUACCGCGUGUACAUUCUCAUAAUGAUGGUACGUCGAAGAAAAAGUACUAUAUUUCAAUGGAUUGACGUAAUUUUUCUACCGCGUUUACAUUCCCAUAAUGAUGGUGUUUUUCCAAAAUCAAAAUUUGUUGUUCAACAUCUUGAACUAGCCAUCCCUUU